RNAcentral lists this ribosomal RNA (460 nucleotides) under uncultured bacterium. Its description in RNAcentral is "partial 16S ribosomal RNA". It matches the Rfam family "Bacterial small subunit ribosomal RNA", at positions 338 to 795 of the family's 1533-position model. The record is from RNAcentral.
CCUACGGGAGGCUGCAGUGAGGAAUAUUGGUCAAUGGGCGCAAGCCUGAACCAGCCAAGUAGCGUGCAGGAUGACUGCCCUACGGGUUGUAAACUUCUUUUAUACGGGAAUAAAGCGCCGCACGUGUGCCGUUUUGCAUGUACUUUAUGAAUAAGGAUCGGCUAACUCCGUGCCAGCAGCCGCGGUAAUACGGAGGGUCCGAGCGUUAUCCGGAUUUAUUGGGUUUAAAGGGAGCGUAGAUGGUAUGUUAAGCCAGUUGUGAAAGUUUGCGGCUCAACCGUAACCUUGCAGUGGAUACUGGCAGGCUUGAGUCCAGGUGAAGCAGGCGGAAUUCGUGGUGUAGCGGUGAAAUGCUUAGAUAUCACGAAGAACCCCGAUUGCGAAGGCAGCUUACUAAACUGCAACUGACAUUGAUGCUCGAAAGUGUGGGUAUCGAACAGGAUUAGAUACCCUUGUAGUC